Molecule: ribosomal RNA, 493 nt
Filed under: uncultured bacterium
Lineage: Bacteria
Description: bacterial SSU rRNA
Rfam family: Bacterial small subunit ribosomal RNA
Source: RNAcentral
GAUUCUGGCUCAGGAUGAACGCUGGCGGCGUGCCUAACACAUGCAAGUCGAACGAGCGAGGUAUGAAACCUAGUGAUUACCGAGCGAGUGGCGGACGGGUGAGUAACGCGUGGGUAACCUGCCUUACAGAGGGGGAUAACAGUUUGAAAAGACUGCUAAUACCGCAUAAGCACACAGUACCGCAUGGUACAGGGUGAAAAGAUUUAUCACUGUAAGAUGGACCCGCGUCUGAUUAGCCGGUUGGCAGGGUAACGGCCUACCAAAGCGACGAUCAGUAGCCGACCUGAGAGGGUGAUCGGCCACAUUGGGACUGAGACACGGCCCAAACUCCUACGGGAGGCAGCAGUGGGGGAUAUUGCACAAUGGAGGAAACUCUGAUGCAGCCGACGCCGCGUGAGUGAAGAAGUAUUUCGGUAUGUAAAGCUCUAUCAGCAGGGAAGAUAAUGACAGUACCUGACCAAGAAGCCCCGGCUAACUACGUGCCAGCCGCCGC